AUUGAACGCUGGCGGCAGGCCUAACACAUGCAAGUCGAGCGAGCGGCGGACGGGUGAGUAAUGUCUGGGAAACUGCCUGAUGGAGGGGGAUAACUACUGGAAACGGUAGCUAAUACCGCAUACCAUCAGAUGUGCCCAGAUGGGAUUAGCUAGUAGGUGGGGUAACGGCUCACCUAGGCGACGAUCCCUAGCUGGUCUGAGAGGAUGACCAGCCCAACUGGAACUGAGACACGGUCCAGACUCCUAGGGAGGGAAGCAGUGGGGAAUGUUGCACAAUGGGCGCAGGCCGGAUGCAGCCAGGCCGGGUGUGUGAAGAAGGCCUUCGGGUUGUAAAGCACUUUCAGCGGGGAGGCGUUACCCGCAGAAGAAGCACCGGCUAACUCCGUGCCAGCAGCCGCGGUAUUC
Molecule: ribosomal RNA, 405 nt
Filed under: uncultured bacterium
Lineage: Bacteria
Description: partial 16S ribosomal RNA
Rfam family: Bacterial small subunit ribosomal RNA
Source: RNAcentral